CAUAGUGGAAUAUGUAAAAGCUCCCAAAACCUUUUUGUGAAAAAACACUUCGAAAUUUGAUCUUCGGAUUUUAUUAAAGAAAAAUCAUCCUGAGAUCCUAAUAUAUGAUAAAGGAAAGGAUUCAUGAAUCUAAUAAAGGAAAACAUAUUUUUUUCAUACCUUUGCAUAGGGAGAUGAACUCCGUAACUAAUGAUCAUGGAA
RNAcentral lists this long non-coding RNA (201 nucleotides) under Elaeis guineensis (African oil palm). RNAcentral's name for it is "long non-coding RNA (EGUI_LNC033286)". The record is from RNAcentral. Lineage: Eukaryota; Viridiplantae; Streptophyta; Magnoliopsida; Arecales; Arecaceae.